CAGGUCUAAUAACAGGUAUAAUACCAGUGUAGGUCUAAUAACAGGUCUAAUAACAGGUCUAAUAACAGGUCUAAUACCAGGUCUAAUAACAGGUCUAAUAACAGGUCUAAUAACAGGUCUAAUACCAGGUCUAAUAACAGGUCUAAUAACAGUGUAGGCCUGAUAAGUGCUGAUAAUACCAGGUCUAAUAACAGGUAUAAUACCAGUGUAGGUCUAAUAACAGGUCUAAUAACAGUGUAGGCCUGAUAAGUGCUGAUAAUACCAGGUCUAAUAACAGGUAUAAUACCAGUGUAGGUCUAAUAACAGGUCUAAUAACAGUGUAGGCCUGAUAAGUGCUGAUAAUACCAGGUCUAAUAACAGGUAUAAUACCAGUGUAGGUCUAAUAACAGGUCUACUAACAGGUCUACUAACAGGUCUACUAACAGGUCUACUAACAGGUCUACUAACAGGUCUACUAACAGGUCUAAUAACAGGUAUAAUACCAGUGUAGGCCUGAUAAGUGCUGAUAAUACCAGGUCUAAUAACAGGUAUAAUACCAGUGUAGGUCUAAUAACAGGUCUAAUAACAGGUAUAAUACCAGUGUAGGCCUGAUAAGUGCUGAUAAUACCAGGUCUAAUAACAGGUAUAAUACCAGUGUAGGUCUAAUAACAGGUCUAAUAACAGGUAUAAUACCAGUGUAGGCCUGAUAAGUGCUGAUAAUACCAGGUCUAAUAACAGGUAUAAUACCAGUGUAGGUCUAAUAAUAGGUCUAAUAACAGGUCUAAUAACAGGUCUAAUACCAGUGUAGGUCUCAUAACAGGUCUAAUACCAGUGUAGGUCUCAUAACAGGUCUAAUAACAGGUAUAAUACCAGUGUAGGCCUGAUAAGUGCUGAUAAUACCAGGUCUAAUAACAGGUAUAAUACCAGUGUAGGUCUAAUAACAGGUCUAAUACCAGUGUAGGUCUAAUAACAGGUCUAAUAACAGGUCUAAUAACAGGUCUAAUACCAGUGUAGGUCUUAUAACAUGUCUAAUAACAGGUCUAAUACCAGUGUAGGUCUAAUAACAGGUCUAAUAACAGGUCUAAUACCAGUGUAGGUCUUAUAACAUGUCUAAUAACAGGUCUAAUACCAGUGUAGGUCUGAUAAGUGCUGAUAAUACCAGGUCUAAUAACAGGUAUAAUACCAGUGUAGGUCUAAUAACAGG
Molecule: long non-coding RNA, 1183 nt
Organism: Oncorhynchus tshawytscha (Chinook salmon)
Lineage: Eukaryota; Metazoa; Chordata; Actinopteri; Salmoniformes; Salmonidae
Exons: 2
Source: RefSeq, a predicted model, not a curated record